RNAcentral lists this unclassified non-coding RNA (646 nucleotides) under uncultured Prochlorococcus sp. RNAcentral's name for it is "partial 16S-23S ribosomal RNA intergenic spacer; may also contain 16S ribosomal RNA and 23S ribosomal RNA". The stretch from base 302 to 374 matches the Rfam family "tRNA". Lineage: Bacteria; Bacillati; Cyanobacteriota; Cyanophyceae; Synechococcales; Prochlorococcaceae. The record is from RNAcentral.
UUGUGGAGGAGGACGCCGAAGGUGGGGCUAAUGACUGGGGUGAAGUCGUAACAAGGUAGCCGUACCGGAAGGUGCGGCUGGAUCACCUCCUAACAGGGAGACAACAAAAUGUUUAAUAUUAUUUUGUCACCUUAGGUCGAUCGGUAUCUCACUUCUUAAUUUAAUUAAGAAUUUUAUUUCCUAAGUUUUUCUAGGUCACACCCAUUAUUUUUCCUGGGCCAUUAGCUCAGGUGGUUAGAGCGCACCCCUGAUAAGGGUGAGGUCCCUGGUUCAAGUCCAGGAUGGCCCAUAUCUCUAUGUUGGGGGUAUAGCUCAGUUGGUAGAGCGCCUGCUUUGCAAGCAGGAUGUCAGCGGUUCGAGUCCGCUUACCUCCACUGAUUACCACCUCUUCCAUAAUCUGAAGAAAGGAAAAGUUUUGAGUUGUGAUCAUAUUUCUGAACGAAUCUAGCAUCCUAAUGAAAUGAUUAAGAUGCUGGACUCAUUGAAUUAAAUUCAUUGUUUUCAGAGAACCUUGACAACUGCAUAGAUUAUUUUUAAAGACAAUAAGCAUCUUUUAAUGAUGCAGAUUUAUUAUUUGUGCAAAUGCAUUAAUAACAAUUCUAUUAAGCUGAUGCUUCAAUUUUUGAAGUUAUUGGUCAAGCUACAA